AUACGGAGGGGGCUAGCGUUGUUCGGAAUUACUGGGCGUAAAGCGUACGUAGGCGGACUGAUAAGUAAGAUGUGAAAUCCCAGGGCUCAACCCUGGAACUGCAUUUUAAACUGUUAGUCUAGAGUUAUGGAGAGGUAAGUGGAAUUCCUAGUGUAGAGGUGAAAUUCGUAGAUAUUAGGAGGAACACCAGAGGCGAAGGCGGCUUACUGGACAUAUACUGACGCUGAGGUACGAAAGUGUGGGGAGCAAACGGGAUUAGAAACCCUAGUAGUCC
This 274-nucleotide ribosomal RNA is filed under the name uncultured bacterium. Its description in RNAcentral is "partial 16S ribosomal RNA". It matches the Rfam family "Bacterial small subunit ribosomal RNA", at positions 523 to 796 of the family's 1533-position model. The record is from RNAcentral.